RNAcentral lists this transfer RNA (71 nucleotides) under Trichechus manatus latirostris (Florida manatee). RNAcentral describes it as "tRNA-Gly (TCC) (tRNA-Gly-TCC-16-1)". It matches the Rfam family "tRNA". Rfam says of the family: Transfer RNA (tRNA) molecules are approximately 80 nucleotides in length. Their secondary structure includes four short double-helical elements and three loops (D, anti-codon, and T loops). Lineage: Eukaryota; Metazoa; Chordata; Mammalia; Sirenia; Trichechidae. The record is from Rfam by way of RNAcentral.
GCAGUGGUGGUUCAGUGGUAGAAUUCUUGCCUUCCAUGCAGGAGACCUGGGUUUGAUUCCCAGCCAGUGCA